Molecule: long non-coding RNA, 461 nt
Organism: Xenia sp. Carnegie-2017
Lineage: Eukaryota; Metazoa; Cnidaria; Anthozoa; Malacalcyonacea; Xeniidae
Exons: 4
Source: RefSeq, a predicted model, not a curated record
AUCUACUAUAAUAAGCAACUUCGAACGAAGAGUUGAGUGCAGAAAGCUUUUUGUUGAUAUUUUAGCCGUUUGAGUUGCUUUCUAUUUAAGUUUAACUAUGUCUGGUAGAGAAGGAGGCAAAAAGAAACCGUUAAAGCAACCAAAAAAGAAGACGCAGGAAUUAGAUGAGGAUGACGUAGCGCAAAAGCAGAAGAUGAGAGAAGAGCAAAAAAAAUUACAAGAAGCAAAAGCAAAGGCUGCAGGAAAGGGACCUAUGGGUGGUAGCGGUAUAAAGAAAUCUGGGAAAAAGUGACUUAUGAAUUUGACAAUCAUGAAAGUAUACAAGUAGAACUCAUUUUUGUAUUUGGAUACAAGCCCAUUCUAUGAAUUAUAGGAAAUACUUGUAUGUUUAAGACUCAAUGCGUGAUGAAAAUGUACAAAAAUGUACUAGAAUAAAAACUAAUGAAAUUUUUCAAAUAGAA